RNAcentral lists this ribosomal RNA (603 nucleotides) under uncultured fungus. RNAcentral describes it as "eukaryotic LSU rRNA". It matches the Rfam family "Eukaryotic large subunit ribosomal RNA", at positions 23 to 641 of the family's 3401-position model. The record is from RNAcentral. Lineage: Eukaryota; Fungi.
ACCCGCUGAACUUAAGCAUAUCAAUAAGCGGAGGAAAAGAAACCAACAGGGAUUGCCCUAGUAACGGCGAGUGAAGCGGCAACAGCUCAAAUUUGAAAUCUGGCGUCUUUGGCGUCCGAGUUGUAAUUUGCAGAGGGCGCUUUGGCAUUGGCAGCGGUCCAAGUUCCUUGGAACAGGACGUCACAGAGGGUGAGAAUCCCGUACGUGGUCGCUAGCCUUUACCGUGCAAAGCCCCUUCGACGAGUCGAGUUGUUUGGGAAUGCAGCUCUAAAUGGGAGGUAAAUUUCUUCUAAAGCUAAAUACUGGCCAGAGACCGAUAGCGCACAAGUAGAGUGAUCGAAAGAUGAAAAGCACUUUGGAAAGAGAGUUAAAAAGCACGUGAAAUUGUUGAAAGGGAAGCGCUUGCAGCCAGACUUGCCUGUAGUUGCUCAUCCGGGUUUUUACCCGGUGCACUCUUCUAUAGGCAGGCCAGCAUCAGUUUGGGCGGUUGGAUAAAGGUCUCUGUCAUGUACCUCUCUUCGGGGAGAACUUAUAGGGGAGACGACAUGCAACCAGCCCGGACUGAGGUCCGCGCAUCUGCUAGGAUGCUGGCGUAAUGGCUGU